GAUGAACGCUGGCGGCGUGCCUAAUACAUGCAAGUCGAGCGAACAGACGAGGAGCUUGCUCCUCUGACGUUAGCGGCGGACGGGUGGGUAACACGUGGAUAACCUACCUAUAAGACUGGGAUAACUUCGGGAAACCGGAGCUAAUACCGGAUAAUAUAUUGAACCGCAUGGUUCAAUAGUGAAAGACGGUUUUGCUGUCACUUAUAGAUGGAUCCGCGCCGCAUUAGCUAGUUGGUAAGGUAACGGCUUACCAAGGCGACGAUGCGUAGCCGACCUGAGAGGGUGAUCGGCCACACUGGAACUGAGACACGGUCCAGACUCCUACGGGAGGCAGCAGUAGGGAAUCUUCCGCAAUGGGCGAAAGCCUGACGGAGCAACGCCGCGUAAGUGAUGAAGGUCUUCGGAUCGUAAAACUCUGUUAUUAGGGAAGAACAAAUGUGUAAGUAACUAUGCACGUCUUGACGGUACCUAAUCAGAAAGCCACGGCUAACUACGUG
This 497-nucleotide ribosomal RNA is filed under the name uncultured bacterium. RNAcentral's name for it is "partial 16S ribosomal RNA". It matches the Rfam family "Bacterial small subunit ribosomal RNA", at positions 28 to 507 of the family's 1533-position model. The record is from RNAcentral.